AGCAUAUCAAUAAGCGGAGGAAAAGAAACCAACAGGGAUUGCCCCAGUAACGGCGAGUGAAGCGGCAACAGCUCAAAUUUGAAAUCUGGCCCCUAGGGCCCGAGUUGUAAUUUGCAGAGGAUGCUUUUGGCGAGGUGCCUUCCGAGUUCCCUGGAACGGGACGCCAUAGAGGGUGAGAGCCCCGUCUGGUCGGAUGCCGAGCCUCUGUAAAGCUCCUUCGACGAGUCGAGUAGUUUGGGAAUGCUGCUCUAAAUGGGAGGUAUAUGUCUUCUAAAGCUAAAUACCGGCCAGAGACCGAUAGCGCACAAGUAGAGUGAUCGAAAGAUGAAAAGCACUUUGAAAAGAGGGUUAAAUAGUACGUGAAAUUGUUGAAAGGGAAGCGCUUAUGACCAGACUUGGACCCGGUGAAUCAUCCAGCGUUCUCGCUGGUGCACUUUGCCGGGCUCAGGCCAGCAUCAGUUUGCCUUGGGGGAUAAAGGCUUUGGGAAUGUGGCUCCCUCGGGAGUGUUAUAGCCCAUUGCACAAUACCCUGGGGCGGACUGAGGUUCGCGCAUCUGCAAGGAUGCUGGCGUAAUGGUCAUCAGCGACCCGUCUUGAAACACGGACCAAGGAGUCGUCUUCGUAUGCGAGUGUUCGGGUGUAAAACCCCUACGCGUAAUGAAAGUGAACGCAGGUGAGAGCUUCGGCGCAUCAUCGACCGAUCCUGAUGUUCUCGGAUGGAUUUGAGUAAGAGCAUACGGGGCCGGACCCGAAAGAAGGUGAACUAUGCCUGUAUAGGGUGAAGCCAGAGGAAACUCUGGUGGAGGCUCGCAGCGGUUCUGACGUGCAAAUCGAUCGUCAAAUAUGGGCAUGGGGGCGAAAGACUAAUCGAACCUUCUAGUAGC
RNAcentral lists this ribosomal RNA (884 nucleotides) under Metarhizium macrosemiae. Its description in RNAcentral is "Metarhizium sp. YL-2021a partial large subunit ribosomal RNA". It matches the Rfam family "Eukaryotic large subunit ribosomal RNA", at positions 37 to 951 of the family's 3401-position model. Lineage: Eukaryota; Fungi; Ascomycota; Sordariomycetes; Hypocreales; Clavicipitaceae. The record is from RNAcentral.